UUAGUGGCGGACGGGUGAGUAACGCGUGGAAAACCUGCCGUAUACUGGGGGAUAACACUUAGAAAUAGGUGCUAAUACCGCAUAAGCGCACAGCUUCGCAUGAAGCGGUGUGAAAAACUCUGGUGGUAUACGAUGGUUCCGCGUCUGAUUAGCUAGUUGGUGGGGUAAUGGCCUACCAAGGCAACGAUCAGUAGCCGGCCUGAGAGGGUGAACGGCCACAUUGGGACUGAGACACGGCCCAAACCCCUACGGAAGGCAGCAG
Molecule: ribosomal RNA, 262 nt
Filed under: uncultured bacterium
Lineage: Bacteria
Description: partial 16S ribosomal RNA
Rfam family: Bacterial small subunit ribosomal RNA
Source: RNAcentral